CCUCAGGUUUUUGGAGGAAGGUUCGUCCGCUCCAAGUUAGGCGGGAGCUAAGGUGAGGCCGAAAGGCGUAGCCGAUGCACAGACGGUAGAGAUUCCGUCCCCACCGAAAGAUUUAAGCGCAGGGACACUUUUAGAAGGUCGGAGCCAGGUGUUGGUUCUGGUAGAGAUCGAGGGAAGAUUAGUACCGAAGUCCGGCUGGAUAAGAGGCGAGAAAAGCUGCGUGUAUAUCUAAGGUGCCCGUACCGCAAACCGACACAGGUAGGUAGGAAGAAGAUUCUAAGGCCAACGGGAGAAGGGUUGUUAAGGAACUCGGCAAAUUGACCCCGUAACUUCGGGAGAAGGGGUGCUCCAGAGAUGGAGCCGCAGAGAAUCGGCCCAAGCAACUGUUUACCAAAAACACAGGUUUGUGCUAAAUCGAAAGAUGACGUAUACGAGCUGACGCCUGCCCGGUGCUGGAAGGUUAAGAGGAGAUGUGCAAGCAUUGAAUCGAAGCCCCAGUGAACGGCGGCCGUAACUAUAACGGUCCUAAGGUAGCGAAAUUCCUUGUCAGGUAAGUUCUGACCCGCAUGAAAGGCGUAAUGAUCUGGGCACUGUCUCAACAGCCCGCCCGGCGAAAUUGUAGUACCGGUGAAGAUGCCGGUUACCCGCGACAAGACGGAAAGACCCCAUGGAGCUUUACUGUAGCCUAAUAUUGGGUUUCGGUGUUGCAUGCACAGGAUAGAUGGGACGCUAGGAAGUGAGUGCUUUGGCAUUCAUGGAGCGGCCGUUGGGAUACCAUCCUUGCGACAUUGGAAUUCUAACCUGCGCCUUUGAAUCAAGGCGGGGGACAUUGUUAGGUGGGCAGUUUGACUGGGGCGGUCGCCUCCUAAAGAGUAACGGAGGCGUUCAAAGGUUCGCUCAGCUUGAACGGAAAUCAAGCAAAAGAGUGCAAACGCAGAAGCGAGCCUAACUGCGAGACUGACGGGUCGAGCAGUAACGAAAGUUGGAGUUAGUGAUCCGGUGGUAUGUGAGUGGAAAUGCCAUCGCUCAACGGAUAAAA
Molecule: ribosomal RNA, 1039 nt
Filed under: human gut metagenome
Description: bacterial LSU rRNA
Rfam family: Bacterial large subunit ribosomal RNA
Source: RNAcentral